UGCCGCUGGAGGAUCCCAAGGAAGAAGUGCUGACUCCAAAUCAUUUCCUUUGGUUAAGUUCCGGUGAGGACAGCAAACCACCAAGAGUACCAAUCGACGAUGUUACACCUCUUCGACCCAACUGGAAGGCUAUUCAACACUUAACGAACCAGUUUUGGAAGCGCUGGGUGCCAGCUUAUCUACCUACCAUAGCCUGCAGGAAGAAAUGGUUCGCGGAAACGCGGCCGCUGAAGGUCGGCGAUCUAGUGGUUAUCGUAGGCGAGUCCGUGCGCAACGGAUGGUUUCGAGGUAAAGUGGUGAAGACUUAUCCAGGACGAGACGGACAAGUUCACAAGGUCGACGUGGAGACUUGCGACGGAUCUACUCUUCAAAGACCAGCGGUAAAGGUUGCUCUGUUGGACGUGCAGGAGGAGAGUAAAGUCGAUUGACUACGACGUUACGGGUUGGGGUGUUAGUAGAACUGGCAACCUUGGUACGGGAUCGGACAAACGUCAACGCGUUGGCGCCGAAAAGGAAUUGUCAUUGUUAGAAAAUUGAUCGAAGCUGCGACACGUUUUUUCCUGACCUGGCAGUUAGUUAGUUUUGUAGUGAAUAGUUUUUAGAGAAAACCGUAUGUAUUGAUUACUAUAGUUGUUCCGCUCAUCCUUUAAAGUAUUUUUUAUAGUAGGUGGAAGCUAUUUGGCCAGUUGCGCGUGAUUUGAGUGCUCGCGGGUUUGUGAGUCGGAAGAGUUUGAGUGACCGUUCGGUUGUUCCGGUUAGGUGUACCGGGUUGAGCUCAAUUAGAGCGGUAGGAAAGAAAAAGCGUAAGUACACAAGUGUACUUUUUAUUUACCCGAAGAUAAAUAUGAUUUUCGUCCAUUAGCUUCAAAUAGCCGGUGAUAUCCGACGGUUUAGGGUUGCCAGAGCUAGAGCUUAGGGUAAACGGCGAAACUUAUUUGUAAGUUAAUAAGAGAUUGUUUACAUUAUCAUCAUUUAAUAAUAAAUGUAUUUACAGUCGAGUUCGUUCGCAUACAACGUA
Molecule: long non-coding RNA, 1018 nt
Organism: Uranotaenia lowii
Lineage: Eukaryota; Metazoa; Arthropoda; Insecta; Diptera; Culicidae
Exons: 2
Source: RefSeq, a predicted model, not a curated record